This 492-nucleotide ribosomal RNA is filed under the name uncultured bacterium. RNAcentral's name for it is "partial 16S ribosomal RNA". It matches the Rfam family "Bacterial small subunit ribosomal RNA", at positions 29 to 507 of the family's 1533-position model. The record is from RNAcentral.
AGUGAACGCUGGCGGUAGGCCUAACACAUGCAAGUCGAACGGCAGCACAGUAAGAGCUUGCUCUUACGGGUGGCGAGUGGCGGACGGGUGAGGAAUACAUCGGAAUCUACUUUUUCGUGGGGGAUAACGUAGGGAAACUUACGCUAAUACCGCAUACGACCUACGGGUGAAAGCAGGGGAUCUUCGGACCUUGCGCGAUUGAAUGAGCCGAUGUCGGAUUAGCUAGUUGGCGGGGUAAAGGCCCACAAAGGCGACGAUCCGUAGCUGGUCUGAGAGGAUGAUCAGCCACACUGGAACUGAGACACGGUCCAGACUCCUACGGGAGGCAGCAGUGGGGAAUAUUGGACAAUGGGCGCAAGCCUGAUCCAGCCAUACUGCGUGGGUGAAGAAGGCCUUCGGGUUGUAAAGCCCUUUUGUUGGGAAAGAAAAGCAGCAGGUUAAUACCCCGCUGUUCUGACGGUACCCAAAGAAUAAGCACCGGCUAACUUCGUG